RNAcentral lists this long non-coding RNA (502 nucleotides) under Bos indicus x Bos taurus (hybrid cattle). RNAcentral's name for it is "lncRNA (ENSBIXG00005027096.1)". Lineage: Eukaryota; Metazoa; Chordata; Mammalia; Artiodactyla; Bovidae. The record is from RNAcentral.
AUGGGAAGACUAGGGGUGGUAGUGUCCAGACUUGACCGUAAAUCUCUUGAGUUCCAGGACGGAGGCCUUCUCAUUACUGCAUACCAGACCACGGACGUCUGUAAUGUGAGGAAACCAACGAAGUGGACAAUGUGCAGAAUGUGGAAUUUGAUAAAAUCAGGACCAAAUCCUGGCAAUGCCACUGAAUUGAUGUCCGUGAGUUUCUUUUCCUCGGACAUGAGAUGAAACUAUCAGUGACGUUAUUUCUCCUCUCAAAAAUUCUCCUGAAAAAAGAAAUCUGAGGUAAGUGAUACAAAAACAAGCUUGUGACUCAUUUGUUUUAGAUAUUGCUGAGCUAUUUAAGUGAGAGUAAGAGCAACUUGAUUCUUGCAUUUGGACUAUUUCACCAAAAGUGGGAUGUGUAAUUUUAUACAUAUUUGAAGUUCUUCUUGUUUUUCUGGUUUGAUGUUCUCUCCUGCUUUGCAAAAAUAAAGAAAGAAAUAAGUGAAGCUUGCCUAUCCUG